UAACCUCCUUUCCCACUGGGUACAGUGC
RNAcentral lists this non-coding RNA (28 nucleotides) under Mus musculus (house mouse). The record is from RNAcentral. Lineage: Eukaryota; Metazoa; Chordata; Mammalia; Rodentia; Muridae.